RNAcentral lists this long non-coding RNA (1309 nucleotides) under Monodelphis domestica (gray short-tailed opossum). RNAcentral's name for it is "lncRNA (ENSMODG00000049920.1)". The record is from RNAcentral. Lineage: Eukaryota; Metazoa; Chordata; Mammalia; Didelphimorphia; Didelphidae.
CACCUAACCUGCCCCCUAUGGCAUAUAUUCUUACUGUGGAUUGGGUGAAGAGAUUUCAGGAAGUCUAUGAACUUAGUUGAGGAAAAAUUAAUAAUUAUUUUCAUUAAUCUCUAAUUGAAAUUAGCAUUGCCUUCAAAUAUGAAUGUAGGCAAUAAAACAUUUUAAGUAAUGUAUAGGGUUCAUCAGAUUGCCAAAGUGAACCAUGACACACAGCUAAUUGGUAAUGAAGGCAAAAGAUGGAAACAGUCAAUAAUGGUGGAAAGUCAGGUAUAGUAAUCUACAAUUGGUAGAGAUGGGAAUUAGUCUAGUGAAUUGUGCACACCUUUGCCCCAGAAAUCCGAAUGUGAGGCAGAAGAUCCAGGAGGUCAAAGAUAGAACAAAAGAUCAAAAUAUUCAUUGAAAUACUUUUUGUAGUAGCAAUGAAUUAUACAGAAGCCCAAAUACUGAGGAAUGACUAAACAAGGUAUACAAUGGAAUGUUACUGUGUGAGGACUGGCUUUAGCUCUCCCCUGAUUAUAACAAUGAAGAUACUUAGCUCUUCCUUUAUUGGGAAGAUUGAAUUGUAAUCCUCUGUCUGUUCAUUUAAUCCCCCAAAAGGUGAUAACUCAGUAUUUUAAGUAGAUCUACCCAUUUUAACUACAAAAAGAUGUUAAGUAACUACAAAAAGUGAACUAACCAAAAAAGGUGUUAAGUAACCCAAAAGGUAUAAUCUAACCAAAGAAGAUGUGAAAUAAAGAGUGGUCAGUCCUAGAGAGGAGCAUCUGUGGUGAUUGGUAGACAUGAAAUUUAGUCGAGGUGAUACAAGAGAAAAAGAUCUUUAAAAAGAGGACAAGAGGCCAGAAGAAGGAUUAUUCGAUUUGAUUCGAUUCAAGAUUUGAGUGGAUGGAGAAUUCUCUGACUUGGAAUUGGACUGGAGGAAUUGGACUCCUGGAGGAACUUUUGCAGGAGAUCCCAGACUGCUUUUCCAUUUUAGAUGGUCACCAUUGGAUUCUCAGAAGAAUCUGUAGAUUCCACCAGACUACUCCAGGGGCCCGUGAUACACACAAAAAUGCAGAGACCACUAAGGAGAGGUUCCUGUUCCCGAAAAGAGCUGAAGCUGGAACUUGAAGAGAGGCCAUCCCGCAGAAAGGGGAGCAGGGAGCUCUGCAGGAUGCAUCUGAGGAGCAGGAGCAGGAGCCCAGAGCUUCCAGAUCUUGCGGUCAUACUGGAGGAAAGAGUCUCCUGGCUGGUACAAGCCAGCAGGAUUUGACUGGCAUCAUUUCUGAAGUCAAGAAAUAAAUAUUGUCUCAGAGGAUUGGUGUGGAUUUCC